RNAcentral lists this ribosomal RNA (253 nucleotides) under uncultured bacterium. RNAcentral's name for it is "partial 16S ribosomal RNA". It matches the Rfam family "Bacterial small subunit ribosomal RNA", at positions 524 to 776 of the family's 1533-position model. The record is from RNAcentral.
UACGUAGGUGGCAAGCGUUGUCCGGAUUUAUUGGGUUUAAAGGGUGCGUAGGUGGCCCUGUAAGUCAGUGGUGAAAUAUCUCAGCUUAACUGAGAGGGUGCCAUUGAUACUGCAGAACUUGAGUACAAAUGAGGUAGGCGGAAUUGACGGUGUAGCGGUGAAAUGCAUAGAUAUCGUCAAGAACACCGAUAGCGAAGACAGCUUACCAAGCUGUAACUGACACUGAGGCACGAAAGUGUGGGGAUCAAACAGG